UUCAGUCCUCUUUUUUGGCAGAGGUACAUUCUUUUGCAUGUGCUGAUUAACAAAAUAAGUUUCCAUAAAGUAUUACACUCCAAUCUAUCCUCAUUUGUUUUUAUUAAGAUGGUGUGUGGUUUUCCAUUCUUCUGCAUUUUUUCUUUAUGACUAUAUCCCUUUUCAUAAUUACUUAACUCCAUUAUCAUUGUUGAAAGAUUUGUACCCAUUCAGGUAAGAUAUAUUUUCAAGGUUUUUUUUCCAUUGAAUGUAGUAAUAUUUCACAUUAGUCAAAUUACCUCCAAUUACUUCACAUUACCUUCAAUAUUUAGGGGCAAGGAGGUUGGCAAAGCAAUCCUAAAGACAAUACAUCAUUCCAAAAAUUGAAAAUUAAUCCCAUUUGUCUUUUAUGACAGGACAGUUGUGGAAAAAAAUAUAAAAAGAGUGAAGAGUAUUUUGAAAUGACUGCAUUAGAACUGGCCAUCAUUACUAAAGUUGUAGAUAUGAGUGAUGCAUGGACUCCUGUUCAGUGCACCUGGCAUCAUCCUCCUAAAAAGUAGGAUUUUCAGUGGACUUCUGACAACUAAAAAAACCAUGCCAUAUGAGAAAGGUUUUCUUGUGGGUGGAGACAAGAGCAAGAAGAAGUUAUCCAGGAGAAAGACAGUAAAGGUCCUGGGAGAGUGAAAUGGAGAAAGAGGAAGAGCACAUUUCGGGAUCCAUUUUGCACGGAGAGAGAGAGAGAGAGAGAGAGGCAGAGACACAGGCAGAGGGAG
This is a long non-coding RNA of Canis lupus familiaris (dog), 752 nucleotides long. RefSeq lists it as uncharacterized. Lineage: Eukaryota; Metazoa; Chordata; Mammalia; Carnivora; Canidae. The record is from RefSeq and is a predicted model, not a curated record. The transcript has 3 exons.